RNAcentral lists this ribosomal RNA (253 nucleotides) under uncultured bacterium. RNAcentral describes it as "partial 16S ribosomal RNA". It matches the Rfam family "Bacterial small subunit ribosomal RNA", at positions 524 to 776 of the family's 1533-position model. The record is from RNAcentral.
UACAGAGGUCUCAAGCGUUGUUCGGAUUCAUUGGGCGUAAAGGGUGCGUAGGCGGCGCGGUAAGUCGGGUGUGAAAUCUCGGAGCUUAACUCCGAAACUGCAUUCGAUACUGCCGUGCUUGAGGACUGGAGAGGAGACUGGAAUUUACGGUGUAGCGGUGAAAUGCGUAGAUAUCGUAAGGAAGACCAGUGGCGAAGGCGAGUCUCUGGGAUGAUGCUGACGCUGAGGCGCGAAAGCCAGGGGAGCGAACAGG